RNAcentral lists this ribosomal RNA (253 nucleotides) under uncultured Eubacteriales bacterium. Its description in RNAcentral is "uncultured Clostridiales bacterium partial 16S ribosomal RNA". It matches the Rfam family "Bacterial small subunit ribosomal RNA", at positions 524 to 776 of the family's 1533-position model. Lineage: Bacteria; Bacillati; Bacillota; Clostridia; Eubacteriales. The record is from RNAcentral.
UACGUAGGGGGCAAGCGUUAUCCGGAUUUACUGGGUGUAAAGGGAGCGCAGGCGGUAUGGCAAGUCAGAUGUGAAAACCCAGGGCUCAACCCUGGGACUGCAUUUGAAACUGCCAUACUGGAGUGCCGGAGAGGUAAGUGGAAUUCCUAGUGUAGCGGUGAAAUGCAUAGAUAUCACGCAGAACUCCGAUUGCGAAGGCAGCUUACUAAGCCAUAACUGACACUGAAGCACGAAAGCGUGGGGAUCAAACAGG